GACCCAGUAGUGUAAUGGUUAACACACUUGCUCAGUGUAUUGCUUCGAUCCAAUUUCUUAUGUCGGUGAUCCCUGUUCAAAUCAGGGCUGAGUCA
Mycena rebaudengoi is the source of this 95-nucleotide non-coding RNA. Lineage: Eukaryota; Fungi; Basidiomycota; Agaricomycetes; Agaricales; Mycenaceae. The record is from the annotation of a GenBank genome assembly.